This 750-nucleotide long non-coding RNA is filed under the name Homo sapiens (human). Its description in RNAcentral is "HSALNT0216643". The record is from RNAcentral. Lineage: Eukaryota; Metazoa; Chordata; Mammalia; Primates; Hominidae.
CCGGGGUCCUGGGCUGGGUGGCACUGUUGCUGGGGGGCCCCUGGGUGGGGCAUUCCUUCCUGCCUGGCUCCCCCUUCCCCAUCUGUCAAGAGUGGAAACAGUGAAUGCGGGGCGCCCAGGCAGCCUAGGGGGAGUAGGGGCGGGUUCAGGGCACAGCCCGGCUGUCAAGUCUUGGGGAAGAGGAGGGAGGGACUUCUCUGGUGGCCCCACUAGGGUUGCAGGUCCUCCCAGGGCUCAGCUCCCUCUAGUUGGCCCUGGGGUUGAGUCCUGACCAGGUGUCUCUGCUGUCCAGGGAGUCUGGGCCACAACUCUGGCAGCCUGGGGACCUGCCUCAAGAAGGAUGGCAGUGCUGGAUGCCUGAGUGCCCUCCUGGUCUCCCACCCCCUGAACGCCCAUGGUCGGGGAACAUAACCUCGUCUCUGCGGGCGAGGCACACUCUGCCUGUGGGGCCAGUGUGGAGAAGCUGGUCAGGAACUGGAGGCCUGAAACUCGGGUCAGGAAAACCCCAUGUCUGUCCCUGGGUGUGCAUCAGACCAGGAAGAGGGACAAAGGCCACAGCAGCCCCGGGGAGAUGCCAGUGGCAGUGACCGGUCAGAGACCACUGGAGCAGAGUAAUGAGAAUGGCUGAAGGAGACACCUGGGGAUGCUUGAAGCUGCCCCCCGGAGCACGGUCCAGACACCUCCACGGUGAGUCCCAGUGUCAGGAGCAGGCGAGGGGAGGCCCAGGGAGUAACCAAUGAAUCACAACAU